RNAcentral lists this unclassified non-coding RNA (244 nucleotides) under Microstella sp. RNAcentral's name for it is "partial contains 5.8S ribosomal RNA, internal transcribed spacer 2, and large subunit ribosomal RNA". The stretch from base 1 to 52 matches the Rfam family "5.8S ribosomal RNA", at positions 103 to 154 of the family's 154-position model. Lineage: Eukaryota; Fungi; Basidiomycota; Wallemiomycetes. RNAcentral also lists the same sequence under 2 other names. The record is from RNAcentral.
AACGCACAUUGCGCCCUCUGGUAUUCCGGGGGGCAUGCCUGUUCGAGCGUCAUUACAACCCUCAAGCCCAGCUUGGUAUUGGGUGUCGUCCCCCGGGAUGCACCUGGAAAUUAGCGGCGGUGCGGCCGGUGUUCAAGCGUAGUAACUACUCCCGCUUCGAAAUCACCUGGGCGUGCCCGCCGGACAACCCAUUUUUUUUUCAAUGGUUGACCUCGGAUCAGGUAGGGAUACCCGCUGAACUUAA